Molecule: long non-coding RNA, 2529 nt
Organism: Mustela lutreola (European mink)
Lineage: Eukaryota; Metazoa; Chordata; Mammalia; Carnivora; Mustelidae
Exons: 4
Source: RefSeq, a predicted model, not a curated record
GCACUUACCUGGCUUUCCCUGUCUGGGUGUCCUUCUCUGGUAAAAGGGCAGAGGCGAAUUCCUGUGUCAGGGGGCCACUGUGAGCAUUAGUGAAGGGCAGAAAGGGACCUUCAGCACAGUGCCGGGUGUGGUGUGUGGUCAGCAAAGGUCAGCUGCUGUCAUUGUCCUGCUGCCCGGGCUGGCGCAGGAGACGGCCGCCAGCUGAAAGUCAAAGACCUUCUCAAUUCCCGAAUACACCAGAAAAUCCCACCUACUCUGGCAGAAGCUCCCAGCAAGCUUAACUGGGUCUAAUUCCACUCUUCAUCAACUUUGAGAAAAGAGUAAGAGAGUCAGGUGGAAGCGUGGAACUUUCCAUGGGGACAUCAGCAGUCGGGAGACACCCAGAAGCACUGCUGUGGGCCCGCCAGCCCCCGUGUGACCUUCCUGUCCAUCUUGCUCUGGGCCUUCCGGGGGGAGGCCGGCCCGCACGGACCGCAUCCCAGUGUCCUCUGAGUACCUGCUGAAUUUGGAUCACAAGGAGCCUGGACAGGAGACUGGAGGACGGACAGAAGGGGGGCCAGGCCCAGACUGGGAAACGGUGCUUCUUGAGCUCCCCACUGGCCCCUGGGUGGCGUCUCUCUCUCCAUUCAACCUCCUCCGUCUGCAGGUUCCAGUAACUUCCUCUUCCGUCCUCUGCAGGCCUGCGCGGGCAACUGUUGGCAAGACUGCUGCGUCAGAACAAUCUAGGCAGAGCCGUGUCCCCCAGACAUCAAUGCCUGUGUCCCAGAGCCAUGGUUGGGAGAUCCAGAGAGAGGACAGCACAGACCUUCAAGAAUCAGGACAUAGGGAGUCUGAUGUCGGAAGAGGCAGAAGUUGUACCCAUCCCACAGAUGGGGUAGCAGAGGCUGGUCAAGGUUGAGCUCAAGUUCCAGGAGAGAGCAAGAGAGCAAGAGCACACAAGCAGGGGGAGCCACAGAGGGAGAGGGGGUAGCAGGCUCCCCACUGAGCAAAGAGCCUGACAUGGGGCUGGAUCCCAGGACCCCGGGAUACCAACCUGAGCCCAAUGCAGACGCUUUACCAACGGAGCCACUCAGGUGCCCUGUGACUUCCCAUCUCUCAUGGAUCUGUGAAUUGCUGUUGCUUCUUUAGUUUGCUGGACUUUUCACUGGUGAAGACGGAGUGGGCACUUCUAAGUGCACUGCUCGUAGAACUGGACACUGCAAGUCUUUGAUCCCUGAUUUCUACACAUUUUUGCUUUAUUUUAAAGAAAUAGACUAGAACUCACUGACAACCCAUGACAGAGGUGAUUUAUGUAAGAAAAGCAACAAAGCCUGUAUCCAUGGAGCCCCUUCUUGAGAAAAGAAGAAAGCUAUGGCCCAACAUGAACAGAUUGGCGAAUGAAUUUACAUGUGUGUUUUAAGAAAAAAAUAGUAUAUAAGGGUGUAUGUAUGAAGAUUUUUUUAAAAAUCCCCUGCUUUCAUCGUUUGGAUUAGCUGAGUAGCCCCCGUAGGAGUGUCUGAUGUACAUUACACCACCGACUUGUAAAGGUGCUCAUCGCGUGGCCUUCCGUGGGCUGCCCACGUCAUUUGUCCUUCGCCCCUUUCCUGUCUGAAUCUGACUGCCUGUGGGAGAAAUGUGGGAUCCUCCACACCACAGCACUCAUCAACUCAGCCAUCCCAACCCUCCCUCUCAGCCCGGGAGGAUGAACGAGGGUAGUUCCACCAAGCACCACGGCGCCUCUUACCCGACCCACACUAGGGUCCGCGGGGCUGGCUUGGAAGGAAUGAAGAUGAACACGGGCGAGGAACGUGCCUCAAAACAUCGCAGAGGCCGCACACGUCUCUGGAGCCAGACCGCUUUGGCACAAACCCCGGCUUUUCCAGCUGUGGACGGCAUGCCCCUUAAACGCUCCCCGAUUCGGUUCCCCUCCUGAAGGUGCUCUCGCAGGACUCCCCGAGUUAACAAUGAACGUAAAGUGGUGAGAACAGCGUCUGGCCGUGUAAACAGCACACGUGUGAGCCAUCGUUACGAAUCAGGGUCAUUUUGCCUCUAACGUGGUGUCCUCUGAGUGACUCUUACCCUAAAAGCAUAAAGUAAGUAAAAUAGCGCACUUCCCUCGAAGGCACGGACAUCCACUCACCUAUGAAUUAAGAAGGCAAGUGAGUGGGACUUUUGUCACUGCAAGGACACAGCCUGGCUGACAAGGGAUGUUGGAGGAGAAGAUGGCUUCAGCCUAAUGCGAGGGUAGCGGUCCCCGCUUACCUUCCAGGGAGGAGAAGAAAAAAAUGUCGUUUCAGAACUCCAAAAAAAAAAAAAAAAAGUUUAUUUAUAAAAUACUGACAAGUUUGACAGGCCAUGGGACAUCUCAUGGUAUAUAUUUCAAAUCAAUUUCUUUCUUACCUUUCAUUUAAAAAAUAAACCUGCUAACAAGCUAUAGGACAUAUAGAUAUAUAUUUUUUCUUAUAGAUAGACACCUGCCACAAUGAAUACUCUCCCCAUAAUUUUUCAUUAUAUCUUUUAAAUCAAAAAAUAAAGAUUUGUGUUGGUUUU